UUUUUUUUUCAUCAUCAGCC
This 20-nucleotide small RNA is filed under the name Arabidopsis thaliana (thale cress). Its description in RNAcentral is "ATSL241220". Lineage: Eukaryota; Viridiplantae; Streptophyta; Magnoliopsida; Brassicales; Brassicaceae. The record is from RNAcentral.